GAUCAUAGCUCAGGACGAACGCUGGCGGCGUGCCUAACACAUGCAAGUCGAGCGGAGACAGUGAGUAGCUUGCUAUGAGCUGUUUUAGCGGCGGACGGGUGAGUAACGCGUGAGCAACCUUUCCCAGACAGGGGAAUAACACACCGAAAGGUGUACUAAUACCGCAUAAGACCACGGGAUCACAUGGUUCUGGGGUAAAGAAUUAUUCGGUUUGGGGGUUUGGGGGUCGGUCGCGUCCGACUAGUAGGUUGGUUGGAGGUAACGGG
This 266-nucleotide ribosomal RNA is filed under the name uncultured bacterium. RNAcentral describes it as "partial 16S ribosomal RNA". It matches the Rfam family "Bacterial small subunit ribosomal RNA", at positions 15 to 264 of the family's 1533-position model. The record is from RNAcentral.